CACGGGAGACACACGGCGGGUGCUAACGUCCGUCGUGAAGAGGGAAACAACCCAGACCGCCAGCUAAGGUCCCAAAGUCAUGGUUAAGUGGGAAACGAUGUGGGAAGGCCCAGACAGCCAGGAUGUUGGCUUAGAAGCAGCCAUCAUUUAAAGAAAGCGUAAUAGCUCACUGGUCGAGUCGGCCUGCGCGGAAGAUGUAACGGGGCUAAACCAUGCACCGAAGCUGCGGCAGCGACGCUGAUGCGUUGUUGGGUAGGGGAGCGUUCUGUAAGCCUGCGAAGGUGACCUGUGAGGGUUGCUGGAGGUAUCAGAAGUGCGAAUGCUGACAUAAGUAACGAUAAAGCGGGUGAAAAGCCCGCUCGCCGGAAGACCAAGGGUUCCUGUCCAACGUUAAUCGGGGCAGGGUGAGUCGACCCCUAAGGCGAGGCCGAAAGGCGUAGUCGAUGGGAAACGGGUUAAUAUUCCCGUACUUGGUGUUACUGCGAAGGGGGGACGGAGAAGGCUAUGUUGGCCGGGCGACGGUUGUCCCGGUUUAAGCGUGUAGGUGUGUGUUCCAGGUAAAUCCGGUUCACUUUAACACUGAGGCGUGACGACGAGGCACUACGGUGCUGAAGCAACAAAUGCCCUGCUUCCAGGAAAAGCCUCUAAGCAUCAGGUAACAUCAAAUCGUACCCCAAACCGACACAGGUGGUCAGGUAGAGAAUACCAAGGCGCUUGAGAGAACUCGGGUGAAGGAACUAGGCAAAAUGGUGCCGUAACUUCGGGAGAAGGCACGCUGACACGUAGGUGAAGUGAUUUACUCAUGGAGCUGAAGUCAGUCGAAGAUACCAGCUGGCUGCAACUGUUUAUUAAAAACACAGCACUGUGCAAACACGAAAGUGGACGUAUACGGUGUGACGCCUGCCCGGUGCCGGAAGGUUAAUUGAUGGGGUCAGCGUAAGCGAAGCUCCUGAUCGAAGCCCCGGUAAACGGCGGCCGUAACUAUAACGGUCCUAAGGUAGCGAAAUUCCUUGUCGGGUAAGUUCCGACCUGCACGAAUGGCGUAAUGAUGGCCAGGCUGUCUCCACCCGAGACUCAGUGAAAUUGAACUCGCUGUGAAGAUGCAGUGUACCCGCGGCAAGACGGAAAGACCCCGUG
This 1137-nucleotide ribosomal RNA is filed under the name Salmonella enterica subsp. enterica serovar Typhimurium. Its description in RNAcentral is "bacterial LSU rRNA". It matches the Rfam family "Bacterial large subunit ribosomal RNA", at positions 976 to 2095 of the family's 2925-position model. The record is from RNAcentral. Lineage: Bacteria; Pseudomonadati; Pseudomonadota; Gammaproteobacteria; Enterobacterales; Enterobacteriaceae.